This is a long non-coding RNA of Clarias gariepinus (North African catfish), 855 nucleotides long. RefSeq lists it as uncharacterized. The transcript is spliced from 3 exons. NCBI's taxonomy places the organism in Eukaryota, Metazoa, Chordata, Actinopteri, Siluriformes, Clariidae. The record is from RefSeq and is a predicted model, not a curated record.
UGUGCUCUUCUCUCCACGUGGAUGCUUUGAUGCUUUAAAUGGCUAAUAAUUUUCUUUUUUUUUAUUUCUCUCUUUUUCAGACACAAGUCAAGCCAUUGUGGGACAAGAGUAAUAUAAAAAGCUCCAGUGUGACUGUGACUCCAGCUUCUCCAAUUUUCUGGUGGCAUAUUAGACUAUAGGAAUGGGAAUCACCGGGUACCUGAUACAUCACAAUACCCAGAACCAAGAAUCCAAAAAGUAAAACUUUAAAAGGAAAUUGUCAGGAUGUAACUUACGCCAGUCGAUGCCAGCGCUUGCAGACACGGGACGUCCUGAGAAGGUCUUGCAGUGAAAGACGAGAGAAAAUCCCCAACAGCAGCUCAUCCGGGAGAGUGUCCCAACACAGACCGCCUGCAGUGUCUUCGCUGAACAGAGGAGCAGUUUCAGCCAGAGACUGAUUACUAUCAAGUGUUCCACAGAGCGCCACAGGAGAUCCUUUCUCCCAACGGCCAUAAAAGUUUUCAACUCUUCUCUGUAACUCAUACACACAUGUAUGUGGAUUUUUCACUAACUGUUACACAACAGGACAUUAAUACUUACCCAUAUUAAUAAUAUGAUAACUGCAAUACUACUUCCCAAUAAAACAUGUAAUACAAGAUUACAUAUAAUAAUAAUACAAUAUUACAUAAAUAUACUAGAUUACUGUGCAAUACUUACAGGUGGUCUUGAGCCAUAUUCUGUUGGUACUUACUGUUUUAGGAACUUUUUUUUUAAAGAUUAUUAUUAUUAUUUAUUACCUUUAUUACCUUUUCUUAGAUAACAACUGUGAGCACCUGUAACCGAGCAUAAGUAAUUUCCCUCUGGGAUUAAUAAAGU